Corapipo altera (White-ruffed manakin) is the source of this 5498-nucleotide RNA transcript. It is a transcript of the gene named family with sequence similarity 222 member B, with no coding region annotated. NCBI's taxonomy places the organism in Eukaryota, Metazoa, Chordata, Aves, Passeriformes, Pipridae. The transcript is spliced from 2 exons. The record is from RefSeq and is a predicted model, not a curated record.
CCAUGAGGCCCGGGCAGGGGCUCCGAGAGAUUCUGAUUGUUUCUAAUUUGGGAACCACGCGAGAGCAAGUGGAAAUAGGUGAAACACCGUGCUCUGCUCUUCAGGGUGGAUCCAGCAUCCAGUUGUGCUCUCUAAUUUCACUUCUCGUACUGGGACAAUCUCCCUGGCCUGGCUAAGAUGGAGCCACGGGCAAAAAAAAAUUCCUACCUGUUUUUAUUGGUAAAACAUCACGUAAGUCAGUGUUGAGCGCUGUGGAUUCUUCUUUCAUUUCCUGACCCCAGUGUAACCUUUGCUGUGUCCUGCUAUCCCUCUCCUUGCCUUGAUGUUAAACUUGGAGUGUGCAUGUUGGAGGAUGUGAGUCUCACAGUCCUGCCCUUUCCUGUGACUUUCCCUUGCCACUCAUUUUGUUCCCUCUCUGUUGGCAGUUCCUGCACACAAAAUGCUCUGAAAAAUGUCAUACAGUGACUGUCUUGAGCCAAUACUGUGUGUGUAUAUAUAUAUAUAUAUAUAUAUAUGUAUAAAAAAUGUAUUGGAUGGAAAUAGCAUAGUAUGAACCUUUUUCAAAAAAGAAAUUAUGCAGGUGCUCCCACUCUCCAAAGUAAACUUCCUCCUCUGCUAAUCUUUUUUUAAACCUGGAAUGAAAAAAAACAUGUGUUCUUAACAUCUGGAAAGGGGAGCCCUUCAUGCCUCCUUUAUUAUUCUUUUAUCCAGCAUUGUUCUUCAUUCACCCUUCUCUUCAGGCACUGUUUUUCUCAAUUUUUUGUCUUAUAAGCUUGAGGAAUGUCGUGUGCUUUGGCUUUGUUGUGGACAGGGAAAAUUAGGGAUUUGGUUGCCCUUCACUUCCAGCUCAUUAGUCUGUUUUGAUUCUGGGUUGGUUUUAUAUCUUCAGCUACAGCAAAGCCCUCAGCUUUUGCCUGGAAGGGGUGAUGUAUUCCUGGAGCCGGUAAUUUGUGCAUCCUUUGACUUUAAACUGUUCACAACUCUGCUGAGCCUUUGUGAAUGAGCGUGGAGGAAAAUCGAUAUGUGAAAAAGCUGGAGCAGGGGAGGGAAAACAGCUUUUUCCUGGUCACACCAUUGCCUGAUUUAGUUUUCGUGUCUGUGAACUCUUCAGUGUUUAAAUUUAGAAAUGGAUUGUUUUGGAACAAGUCACUUUUUAGAUCAUUUCCAGGAGAUUUGUGUGUAAUUUAAUCCCAUUUAGGUUUGCUACUCUGAUCUGCUUGUUCCACGAGACUUCAGGUUCUCUCUCUCCCUGUACCUCUCCCACUAUUUUCUACAAAUCUGCUGGGGUUUUUUCCAGUCAAACCUUCAGCAGCAUUUAUGAAUCCUGUUAUAUCUUCUCAGUUCCCUUUUUCUAGUCAUUAACAAAGUGAUGUUUGUUAAAAUAGCCUGAACAUUUGAAAACUGUAACUUUAAUGUCUCUGAAGCAUUUCAUAAGUGAUUGUUAUUUAAACACUCUAGAAAUGGAAUGCGUGUACUUCAGAAAUUAACCUGAAUAGUAUCUUUAAUAUUUCUGCUGUAUAUUCUCUUGUAUUUACUGUGAAUUUCCAACACAGCUUAGUUUAAUAUUUCAGGGUGUCUUUUUAGUUACAACUUAUCAAUGAAGUUGCUGAUUAAGAACCAAAAGAAGUCUCAAAAUGUGACAGUCCGACAUAACACUUCAACCAGUUAAAUUUAAAGUCGAGACAGGAAAGAAUUAAGAUUUUUCCAUACUUCCAUCUAGUGUGCAUGGGGGAAAUUGCAUCCACGGUUAAAAUCCCAGAUAUUCUCUGCUGGCAGUUCCAGUUGGGCAAGGAUCAUCUCAUCCAUUGGUCUUUGUUAAGCAGUAACUGCUGAUAGACUGUGUGGCAUCCCAGGGCUGACAGGUUUUAGUUCCAAGUAUUUAUGUGGCGGUACCUUUGCGAUGUCCAUAAAAUGGCGACGCCUGAAGUUUAAGAAAAAUCACCUUUCACCGUGUGGUGUUCAUGCUCUCCUUCAGUGUGUUCUGCUCUAUUUACUUGUCACUCUGUGCUAGAAUUUCAGCUGCUUGAUUUAUGAAUUAUUGCUAUUGAAAUAAAAUUAAAGUGGCUGUUCAGUUAUUUAAGAGCCAAUUAAAUCUGAUUUUAUUCUGAUGUAACAUUUCCAGUGAAAUGGCAUAAAAUGCAGUCUGUGGAGGAAAGUUAGGUCUAGAAAUGGUUAGUGUUUAUUUUUUAUAAUCUGUACUUUCGACAGCUUGUCUUGCCCAUUGAAAUCCAUUGCAAUCUCACAGCAGUGAGUGUAGAUGUUAGAAGUUGCUCUGUAUAAGGAAAUAAAACAGGUUUGGUGUUUUCCAUGAUCCUGUAUAAACCUUUAGUCGUGGCUGCUGGUUGGAGAACGCAUCCAUCCAGAAGAAAGAAAUUUCCCUUGUUUGCAGUGCUUUUGGACAACAGAAUUUAUUUACCAGCCUUUGGUGACUUUGAAAGGUAGAAACAAAGGGUCUUCUGGGACGGACUCAAAUCAUGGGCUGUGCUGUCUUGAGGGCUCGGCGUUAAUAUUAGUUGAGUUUGCAGUAUCAGAUUGUGCUAAUUACUGCGAGGUCCCCGCUCACAGGGGACACUCAGGACGAGGUACUUUGAGAAGUGCAGCCCAAGGACCUCGUUCAUGCGUGACGGGCAGAGAUGGGUCGUUUGUUGCGUGGUAUUGGGGAGCCAAGUUCACUCUUAAAAGAUCUGCCUGGGCGUGGACGUGCCGAAAAGCACCAGAAAAUACCCUGCCAAACCUUACAGUCCUGUAUUUUGUUAGCAGUAAAUACACCAAGUGGAGAAUGGGCAGGUAGCCUUCAUUAUGUGUGGCAAUUAAAACAUAUCUCUUGAUAGUGGUAUUUCUUCUUAGGGGAAAUGGCAGUGCCAAUCCCAGUUUUAUUUUGACAAUUUCACACCAUACAUUUUGUCUUCUGUGGGCUGGGAGAGCACUGGCUGAGGCUAUUUCGAUAUGAGGAGUCUGGUUUGCCUUAUUUUUUAUUAAAAAUAAAUCAUAUUGAUGCGGAUCUAAUUUUAUUUGGGACUAGACAAGCCUGCACUAGCCAGCUCUCAGGUUUGUGGCGUCUGUCUCCGACAAGAUCACAGAUACAGAGAAAAUGAUUUAUUUUAGUAUCCAGUGCUUAGAUAAAAUUCUGGUUUUGUGCAGAUGGCAUUGAAAGAAUAACACAUAGCUCAGACGAAUUUGUAUAAAGCACUGUAUAUUUGUACCAGAAUCCAAAUCUUCAGUACAUCAGUAAUAUUGAGAUUUAUAUUAUUAUUCUAGUCUUGGGUUUUUUUGGCCUUAGAAUUAAUUGCUGCAUGUAGAGGUCGGUGUACUCUAGUUUGGCUACUCCCUGCAUCUUGGUGGGGUGCUUCCAACUUCACCCCAAAGAGGUUGGGAAUUGUCUGGUUGAUACUGGAGAAUACUUUUGGGUUUUGGGAUGGAAGAUGUUCAGAGCAGUGCAGAGCAGGAGCAUGAGGAUGCUCAGCUCUUUGGAGAGGGUUGGAGACGGUGCAGGUGUUUGGGAGGUACCUGCUCCUCCCUCAAAGGCUUUUAUAAAACACUUUAGUAGAGCACGAUCAAAUCCAGACAGUGGCACUAAUUCUAAAUAAGUGUUUGCUAAACAACAUUAAUGGAUUUAAAAUGUUUUUAGGAAUAGUUAUUAGUCCUUCAGUCUCGUAUGGUGAAGGGAGUUUUGUCUCAAUGGGGGGCUGCCAUUUUAAUGCUUCCUGGCAGGAGGCCUAUUUUGAUCAUGCAAAUUAGGUUGGAAAAAGUAGGCUAAGCCAUUAAAAAGUAGGAGAGAUCAUGAAAUUUUAAAUUUUUAAGGUGACUGUUUUUCUAAUUAUUAACAUUUUUGUUAUCAUCGUUUACGUAUGUCACUUCAUUUUCCUUAAUUCUCAUGUCCUCAUCCCUUAACUCUGACAACCUCAGUGCCAGUUGCUCCUGUAUCCACUGCUCAAAAUGGAAACUGUAGCCCAUUGGCUAUUAUAUUCCCAGCAAGGUGCUUGGAAAUAUUGCCACACGAUGUGUUUUGUUGUAUAAUUAGAAAUGCGGAUACAGACUUUUUUCUUGCACCGUGAUUAAUUUUUUUCCUAUUCCGUUAACAUUAAUAGGGACUGAAGGUUAAACUUGGCUUACAUAAACUCUGGGUAUUUGCAGGAUGCUCGUUGGCAAGGGGAUUCAUUCUGGAAGUGGGAAAGGGGCACAUGUGCACAUGGGUGAGGGUUGGAGCCGGUGUCCAGAAGACUGGAUCUCAGGUGGGAAGAUACUGGGAUUUUCACCAGGAUCUCUUCAGAGGCUCCACCUUUCCCACCAGUUCCUGGCCGGGGGGACAGAGUAACAUGGCACUGAUGGAAUGACGUCCUACUGGGAUGUGGGGAAGAGCUCCCUGCAGCCUCUGAGGCACAUGGAUCCUGUGGCCACCAUCCUGCAGGAGCACUGCAGCCCAUCCCUCACAUCCCGCUCCUCUGGGCAACGAGUGCAUCGGCAAAAUAAGUGUCUUGGUGCCCGCUGGCUUGUGAGCUUCAUUUAAUCCUAUUAAUUUUUAAUAGAAGAUGAAUAUUAAGCCAGCACAUUUCGAACAUGACUUUGCCUGUGCGUGGAAGGACCCUCGAUUUCUGUUUGCUUUGGAGGGAAGAGUGUUGGAUCCUGCAGGAGCGAGACCCUCCUGGAGCAAUGUGGGGCCUGGAGCGAGGGACGUGUCUUUGUAGGGCUGUCACCUUCAGCAAGCACAGCAGCAGUGCCCUGUUCCACCCCAGUGAUCACAAGUGUUGGUUGGAUUUCAGAUGCCUGUCUCCAGAAGGGGUGUUGGUGUGCCGUGCUGCUUGGAUAAACGGAGAGGAACUGGGGAUUUCCAGCUGAAAGUCUGCAACAGGUGUAUUUGCGUGACCCAACCAGACUCUGGUGGAAAACGCCAACAGUUGAAUGCCAAUUUUACAAGGACUUCAGUAAAUAUUAAUUUAAGUGAUUUAGGGGUUCUGUUGUGCAAAUAAAGUGUAUUUUUAAUCACUGUCUUGGGUAGGAGCUAAUAGAAGAGAGUUGUGCUGGGGAUGGAGAGCUCAUACCCACCACCCAACCAUGGCUUUGCUACAGCUGAUGUUCUGCAGCCUCCAAAACAGUAAACUCGAAACAGGAAGGUCGGCUCUGUGAGCUGAUGGUAUCUUUGUCAUUAAGAGAGGUUCUGGGAAAGUAAGCUGCAUUCCUUAGCUCUUGCAACCCUUUUUAAUUGUUUUUUCUCACAACCUUAGCCUGAUCUUAUCACCUAAGUAAUUGUUGCAUCAUAUUUACUUUAUUCUCUCUACUGGGAAGUCAGAUAAUUGCUUUAUACUUUUUAAUGGAAAGUGUUUGGGAAGCCUCUUACCUCUGGGAUGUAGAUGAGCAGUGCAGCAACUAUUGCAAGGCUUGCAUUCCUCCCCUUUUUCUGGAGCUGGAUGGGAAUCCAGUAGGAGAAGGCCUAGACGACUGGCACCUUCUCUAGAAUUGAGUAGCAGCCAUGAAGUUACUCAGUGGUUUAGACCCCAUCA